GGGUAAGUGGGAAGAUGGUGGACUGCAGAACAUGUGUGAUUCUCAUAUCAUAUGUCUGCUGACCAUCACCUUUAAGGGUCU
This is a microRNA precursor of Neotoma lepida (desert woodrat), 81 nucleotides long. It matches the Rfam family "mir-654 microRNA precursor family". The record is from Rfam. Lineage: Eukaryota; Metazoa; Chordata; Mammalia; Rodentia; Cricetidae.